RNAcentral lists this ribosomal RNA (441 nucleotides) under uncultured bacterium. RNAcentral describes it as "bacterial SSU rRNA". It matches the Rfam family "Bacterial small subunit ribosomal RNA", at positions 540 to 984 of the family's 1533-position model. The record is from RNAcentral.
GUUAUCCGGAUUUAUUGGGUUUAAAGGGAGCGUAGGCCGCCCCUUAAGCGUGUUGUGAAAUGCGGGUGCUCAACAUCCGACUUGCAGCGCGAACUGGGGGGCUUGAGUGCGCCGAAAGUAGGCGGAAUUCGUGGUGUAGCGGUGAAAUGCUUAGAUAUCACGAAGAACUCCGAUUGCGAAGGCAGCUUACUGUAGCGCAACUGACGCUGAUGCUCGAAAGCGUGGGUAUCGAACAGGAUUAGAUACCCUGGUAGUCCACGCGGUAAACGAUGGAUGCCCGUUGUCGGCCUUUGUGGUCGGUGACCAAGCGAAAGCGUUAAGCAUCCCACCUGGGGAGUACGCCGGCAACGGUGAAACUCAAAGGAAUUGACGGGGGCCCGCACAAGCGGAGGAACAUGUGGUUUAAUUCGAUGAUACGCGAGGAACCUUACCCGGGCUUGA